GAAAUGCGAUAAGUAAUGUGAAUUGCAGAAUUCAGUGAAUCAUCGAAUCUUUGAACGCACAUUGCGCCCCUUGGUAUUCCGAGGGGCAUGCCUGUUCGAGCGUCAUUACACCACUCAAGCUAUGCUUGGUAUUGGGUGCCGUCCUUAGUUGGGCGCGCCUUAAAGACCUCGGCGAGGCCUCACCGGCUUUAGGCGUAGUAGAAUUUAUUCGAACGUCUGUCAAAGGAGAGGACUUCUGCCGACUGAAACCUUUUAUUUUUUCUAGGUUGACCUCGGAUCAGGUAGGGAUACCCGCUGAACUUAA
This 304-nucleotide unclassified non-coding RNA is filed under the name uncultured fungus. RNAcentral describes it as "sequence contains ITS1". The stretch from base 1 to 105 matches the Rfam family "5.8S ribosomal RNA", at positions 50 to 154 of the family's 154-position model. The record is from RNAcentral. Lineage: Eukaryota; Fungi.